AUUGAACGCUGGCGGAAUGCUUUACACAUGCAAGUCGAACGGCAGCACGGGAGCUUGCUCCUGGUGGCGAGUGGCGAACGGGUGAGUAAUACAUCGGAACAUGCCUAGUCGUGGGGGAUACCGUAGCGAAAGUUACGUUAAUACCGCAUACGUCCUGAGGGAGAAAGCAGGGGAUCGAUCACUGAGCGCAUUGACGCAGUCAAUAAAGCUGCUUAGUGCAUUGAGUGAUCGACCUUGCGCGAUUAGAGUGGCCGAUGCCUGAUUAGCUUGUUGGUGAGGUAAUGGCUCACCAAGGCGACGAUCAGUAGCGGGUCUGAGAGGAUGAUCCGCCACACUGGAACUGAGACACGGUCCAGACUCCUACGGGAGGCAGCAGUGGGGAAUUUUGGGACAAUGGGGGCAACCCUGAUCCAGCCAUUCCGCGUGAGUGAAGAAGGCCUCGGUUGUAACG
RNAcentral lists this ribosomal RNA (451 nucleotides) under uncultured bacterium. RNAcentral's name for it is "bacterial SSU rRNA". It matches the Rfam family "Bacterial small subunit ribosomal RNA", at positions 30 to 430 of the family's 1533-position model. The record is from RNAcentral.